CCUACAGAGACUCAACCCAGAUCUACUAGAAAAGUACCACAGCCAAACCAACCCCUGUUUGACAGAGUCGAAUUCUUCCCACCCCGAGAGAAUUGGUGCGGGCACCAGAAUCCGGAAAAGACUCCAAUCAAUUAACUCAAGGUCACUGUGGCUAACUUAAAUUUGAUCGAGUCCUGUAAAUAAAAUCAUUGAGUCAGAAAGCAAGCCAAGUCAGGUUUCUACCACCACCUUUGCACA
RNAcentral lists this long non-coding RNA (237 nucleotides) under Phoenix dactylifera (date palm). Its description in RNAcentral is "long non-coding RNA (PDAC_LNC010541)". Lineage: Eukaryota; Viridiplantae; Streptophyta; Magnoliopsida; Arecales; Arecaceae. The record is from RNAcentral.